UGUAGUUCAUAUGCUUGUCUCAAAGAUUAAGCCAUGCAUGUCUAAGUAUAAGCAAUUACAAAGCGAAACUGCGAAUGGCUCAUUAUAUAAGUUAUCGUUUAUUUGAUAGUACCUUACUACAUGGAUAACCGUGGUAAUUCUAGAGCUAAUACAUGCUGAAAAUCCCGACUUCGGAAGGGAUGUAUUUAUUAGAUACAAAACCAAUGCCCUUCGGGGCUCUCUUGGUGAUUCAUGAUAACUUCUCGAAUCGCACGGCCCCGCGCCGGCGAUGGUUCAUUCAAAUUUCUUCCCUAUCAACUUUCGAUGCUACGGUAUUGUCCUAGCAUGGUUGCAACGGGUGACGGAGGGUUAGGGCUCGACCCCGGAGAAGGAGCCUGAGAAACGGCUACUACAUCCAAGGAAGGCAGCAGGCGCGCAAAUUACCCAAUCCCGAUACGGGGAGGUAGUGACGAUAAAUACCGAUACAGGGCUCUUUUGGGUCCUGUAAUUGGAAUGAGUACAAUUCAAAUCCCUUAACGAGGAACAAUUGGAGGGCAAGUCUGGUGCCAGCAGCCGCGGUAAUUCCAGCUCCAAUAGCGUAUAUUAAAGUUGUUGUGGUUAAAAAGCUCGUAGUWGAASCUYGGGCUCYGGCYGRCCGGUCCGCCUCACCGCGUGYACUGGUYCGGCCGGGCCUUYMCCUUCUGYGGAACCCCAUSCCCUUCACUGGGKGUGGCGGGGAAACAGGACKUUUACUKUGAAAAAAUUAGAGUGCUCCAGGCAGGCCUAUGCUCGAAUASAUUAGCAUGGAAUAAUGRAAUAGGACGUGUGGUYYUAUUUYGUUGGUUUCUAGGACCGCCGUAAUGAUUAAUAGGGACAGUCGGGGGCAUCAGUAUUCAAUCGUCAGAGGUGAAAUUCUUGGAUCGAUUGAAGACUAACUACUGCGAAAGCAUUUGCCAAGGAUGUUUUCAUUWAUCAGGAACSAAAGUUAGGGGAUCGAAGACGAUCAGAUACCGUCGUAGUCUUAACCAUAAACUAUGCCGACUAGGGAUCGGACGGUGUUAUUUCUUGACCCGUUCGGCACCUUACGAGAAAUCAAAGUGCUUGGGCCCAGGGGGAGUANGGUCGCAAGGCUGAAACUUAAGGAAUUGACGGAAGGSCACCACCAGGGGUGGAGCCUGCGGCUUAAUUUGACUCAACACGGGGAAACUCACCAGGUCCAGACACAACGAGGAUUGACAGAUUGAGAGCUCUUUCUUGAUUUUGUGGGUGGUGGUGCAUGGCCGUUCUUAGUUGGUGGAGUGAUUUGUCUGCUUAAUUGCGAUAACGAACGAGACCUUAACCUGCUAACUAGUCCGUAUUACCCCGGUAGUACGCCGACUUCUUAGAGGGACUAUCGGCUCAAGCCGAUGGAAGUUUGAGGCAAUAACAGGUCUGUGAUGCCCUUAGAUGUUCUGGGCCGCACGCGCGUUACACUGACGGGGCCAGCGAGUCCUUCCUUGACCGAAAGGUCCGGGUAAUCUUGUGAAACCCCGUCGUGCUGGGGAUAGAGCAUUGCAAUUAUUGCUCUUCAACGAGGAAUCCCUAGUAAGCGCAAGUCAUCAGCUUGCGUUGAUUACGUCCCUGCCCUUUGUACACACCGCCCGUCGCUACUACCGAUUGAAUGGCUCAGUGAGGCUUUCGGACUGGCCCGGAAUGGGGGGCGACCCCCGUCCUGGGCCGGAAAGUUAUCCGAACUCGGUCAUUUAG
This 1725-nucleotide ribosomal RNA is filed under the name Furcasterigmium furcatum. Its description in RNAcentral is "partial 18S ribosomal RNA". It matches the Rfam family "Eukaryotic small subunit ribosomal RNA". Lineage: Eukaryota; Fungi; Ascomycota; Sordariomycetes; Glomerellales; Plectosphaerellaceae. The record is from RNAcentral.